CUUUAGCAUCAAGUAUUAAAGGUGACGCCUGCCCAGUGAUUAAUUAAACGGCCGCGGGAUCCUCCACCGUGCAAAGGUAGCAUAAUCACUUGUCCCCUAAAUAGUGACUAGUAUGAACGGCCUAAUGAAGAUUUAACUGUCUCUUAUAACCAAUCUAUGAAACUAAUCUACCAGUACAAAAACUGAAAUACUACCAUAAGACGAAAAGACCCUGUGGAACUUUAAGCAUAAUCCAACCAUAAUGGCCCCCAUGCUUUCAGUUGGGGCAACUUUGGAAAAAAACAGAACUUCCAAUAUACUAUAAGGUGCACACACCUAUUUUUUAAAUAUCUGACCCAGUAUCACUGAUUAAAGAACCAAGCUACCCCAGGGAUAACAGCGCCAUCCCCUCCAAGAGCCCAAAUCGACGAGUGGGGUUUACGACCUCGAUGUUGGAUCAGGGCACCCAAACAGUGCAACCGCUGUUAAAGGUUUGUUUGUUCAACAAUUAAAGC
This 494-nucleotide ribosomal RNA is filed under the name Andinosaura oculata (Tropical lightbulb lizard). Its description in RNAcentral is "partial 16S ribosomal RNA". It matches the Rfam family "Bacterial large subunit ribosomal RNA", at positions 1832 to 2594 of the family's 2925-position model. Lineage: Eukaryota; Metazoa; Chordata; Lepidosauria; Squamata; Gymnophthalmidae. The record is from RNAcentral.